Medicago truncatula (barrel medic) is the source of this 893-nucleotide long non-coding RNA. RefSeq lists it as uncharacterized. The record is from RefSeq and is a predicted model, not a curated record. NCBI's taxonomy places the organism in Eukaryota, Viridiplantae, Streptophyta, Magnoliopsida, Fabales, Fabaceae. The transcript is spliced from 3 exons.
UUUUCACUGUCUCAUUUCAUCUUCCUUUCUCUGAGUUCAAAAAUCGACCUAUUCCUUCUCCAGUUCAUUUUUCACCCAAUUUAUGUUCCUUCUGUACGCAUCAAAUGAUUUCUCUAAGUCGACCUAUUGUUGAAUCUUGUUCCUAAAAUCUGUUCUCGUAAGAGUUUUGUUAGGGUUAUCUCCAAAGUUAAGUAUAUAUGAAUAACGAAGAUGUUGGUAGGACACGACAUGGUAAGGAGUCAUUGCAUGCUUCUGUCUGCGGAGAGCGAGUGGCAAACACUCAGGCAAGGACACGUGGGUGACGAUGUGGUCAACUGGUCGUGGGCGUGGUCUGAGCGAGGGACCGGAAGGCUCUGGUUCAUAGUCUCAGGUUGAUAUCGAGAUGCCAUCAUCAAAGGAAGUAUCUGGCUCACAACCUCCUUCUGUAGGAGUGGUUCAAGAGGGCUAUGGCAGAGGACCUUCUGAGACGUCUUUGUUGCCGAAUUUUGGCCAACAUAUUGCAGCCAAGAUUUGGAAUGGAGAGACAAAAUGAAAAGAACAAAUGGCAUCCCAAAGUCAAGAUAGUUUACGAUAACAAUCCAAAGCGAUACGCUAAAAUAGUAGAAGUUCAAAUAGUUCAACAACAAAGAUCUACUUUUGAACAACUCGAACGUGCAAGUUCUUUGAUGACUUUUCGAGAUCAAAGAUAAGCUUACCACCUUCUUCCAUCACACGUUCUCUGCUGAAAUUGAACCACUGUCCAUCCAAGUAUUUUUCAUAGCUUGCUCUUUCGGCGGUAAUGGGGCGACACUUAUAUUUUCUCUAUGUCUGGUCAUCAAUGAUAGUGAUUGUUUUGCGCAUUUCUUUCAGAAUUGUUCUUGACACCUCGUUUGGAAAAUACUAAACAGGGAAAU